This is a long non-coding RNA of Etheostoma spectabile (orangethroat darter), 103 nucleotides long. RefSeq lists it as uncharacterized. The transcript is spliced from 3 exons. The record is from RefSeq and is a predicted model, not a curated record. Lineage: Eukaryota; Metazoa; Chordata; Actinopteri; Perciformes; Percidae.
UUGAUGGAUGAUGGUAGAUUUAAAGCUAUCGUGCGUAGUGUCACCCCCAUGAGGAAUUCUAAGUAAUGACAACAAAACUGUAGGCGCGUUCACAUGAUACAAG